Ascosphaera pollenicola is the source of this 88-nucleotide non-coding RNA. NCBI's taxonomy places the organism in Eukaryota, Fungi, Ascomycota, Eurotiomycetes, Onygenales, Ascosphaeraceae. The record is from the annotation of a GenBank genome assembly.
GCCCGUAUAGCUCAGUGGUAGAGCGCAUCACUCGUACUACAUCGCGAUAGUGAUGAUGAGGUCCUCGGUUCGAUCCCGAGUGUGGGCA